Molecule: ribosomal RNA, 269 nt
Filed under: uncultured prokaryote
Description: partial 16S ribosomal RNA
Rfam family: Bacterial small subunit ribosomal RNA
Source: RNAcentral
UACGUAGGAGGCAAACGUUAUUCGGAUUUACUGGGCGUAAAGCGGGUGUAGACGGCUUCUUAAGUCGGGUGUGAAAUCUCUUGACUCAAUCAGGAGAGGACAUUCGAUACUAAGAGACUUGAGGGCAGCAGAAGAAGACGGAAUUCCCGGUGUAGCGGUGAUAUGCGUAGAUAUCGGGAGGAACACCAGUGGCGAAGGCGGUCUUCUAGGCUGUUCCUGACGUUGAGACCCUAAAGCGUGGGGAGCGAAACGGAUUAGAUACCCCCGUA